This 380-nucleotide ribosomal RNA is filed under the name uncultured cyanobacterium. RNAcentral's name for it is "bacterial SSU rRNA". It matches the Rfam family "Bacterial small subunit ribosomal RNA", at positions 376 to 770 of the family's 1533-position model. The record is from RNAcentral. Lineage: Bacteria; Bacillati; Cyanobacteriota.
CGAAAGCCUGACGGCGCAAGCACGCGAGCGGGAUGGCCUACCUAGAAGUUUGUAACUCCGCUAUUCUCUGGGAAGAUGAUGACGGUACCAGAGGAAUCAGCCUCGGCUAACUCCGUGCCAGCAGCCGCGGUAAUACGGAGGAGGCAAGCGUUAUCCGGAAUCAUUGGGCGUAAAGCGUCCGCAGGUGGCUAUUCAAGUCUGCUGUCAAAGCCUGAGGCUUAACUCCAUAGAGGCAGUGGAAACUGUCUGACUUGAGUGCGGUAGGGGUCGAGGGAAUUCCCAGUGUAGCGGUGAAAUGCGUAGAUAUUGGGAAGAACACCAGUGGCGAAAGCGCUCUACUGGGCCUUCAUCUGACCUCAGGGACGAAAGCUAGGGGAGCG